GGACUACUGGGGUUUCUAAUCCUGUUUGCUCCCCACGCUUUCGCGUCUCAGCGUCAGUAAUCUUCCAGGUGGCCGCCUUCGCCACAGGUGUUCCUCCCGAUAUCUACGAAUUUCACCUCUACACCGGGAAUUCCGCCACCCCCUCCGAUACUCUAGUUUAGUAGUUUCGACCGCAGUUCCUUGGUUAAGCCAAGGGAUUUCACGAUCGACUUGCUAGACCGCCUACACGCGCUUUACGCCCAGUAAUUCCGAACAACGCUUGCACCCUCUGUAUUACCGCGGCGGCUGGCAC
RNAcentral lists this ribosomal RNA (292 nucleotides) under uncultured bacterium. Its description in RNAcentral is "partial 16S ribosomal RNA". The record is from RNAcentral.